RNAcentral lists this ribosomal RNA (635 nucleotides) under Ditylenchus sp. Konza IVGG-15 C. RNAcentral's name for it is "SSU rRNA". It matches the Rfam family "Eukaryotic small subunit ribosomal RNA", at positions 1003 to 1664 of the family's 1831-position model. The record is from RNAcentral. Lineage: Eukaryota; Metazoa; Nematoda; Chromadorea; Rhabditida; Anguinidae.
GGCGAUCAGAUACCGCCCUAGUUCUGACCGUAAACGAUGCCAACUAGCGAUCUGCCGGCGGAAUUUUCGCCCUGGUAGGGAGCUUCCCGGAAACGAAAGUCUUCCGGUUCCGGGGGAAGUAUGGUUGCAAAGCUGAAACUUAAAGGAAUUGACGGAAGGGCACCACCAGGAGUGGAGCCUGCGGCUUAAUUUGACUCAACACGGGGAAACUCACCCGGCCCGGACACCGUAAGGAUUGACAGAUUGAUAGCUUUUUCAUGAUUCGGUGGAUGGUGGUGCAUGGCCGUUCUUAGUUCGUGGAGCGAUUUGUCUGGUUUAUUCCGAUAACGAGCGAGACUCUAGCCUACUAAAUAGUCUGCACAUUGCUUCUGUGUUGCAGUACUUCUUAGAGGGAUUUUCGGUGUACAGCCGCACGAGAUUGAGCAAUAACAGGUCUGUGAUGCCCUUAGAUGUCCGGGGCUGCACGCGCGCUACACUGGCGAAAUCAGCGUGCCUGUCCUUUCCCGAAAGGGAUCGGUAAACCAUUGAAAAUUUGCCGUGAUUGGGAUCGAAAAUUGCAAUUAUUUUUCGUGAACGAGGAAUUCCAAGUAAAUGCGAGUCAUCAACUCGCGUUGAUUACGUCCCUGCCCUUUGUA